Long non-coding RNA from Thalassophryne amazonica, 192 nucleotides. RefSeq lists it as uncharacterized. NCBI's taxonomy places the organism in Eukaryota, Metazoa, Chordata, Actinopteri, Batrachoidiformes, Batrachoididae. The record is from RefSeq and is a predicted model, not a curated record. The transcript is spliced from 4 exons.
UCAAAUCAACAAUAAUGUUCAUUAAUAGCCAUAAAACCUUCCAUAGACAUAUUUUCACGGUAAAUAAUAUUGAGAGAUGACAUGUCACUUUGGAUCCUCAAACAGGGCAAAAGAUCAACUUUGGAGUUCAUGAGGUUAGAUAACAUGCACGCACACAUGUACGUAUAACUGGUGCGUCAUAACACUUCAAGA